RNAcentral lists this ribosomal RNA (490 nucleotides) under uncultured bacterium. Its description in RNAcentral is "partial 16S ribosomal RNA". It matches the Rfam family "Bacterial small subunit ribosomal RNA", at positions 28 to 507 of the family's 1533-position model. The record is from RNAcentral.
GAUGAACGCUAGCUACAGGCUUAACACAUGCAAGUCGCGGGGCAGCAUGAGGGUUGCUUGCACUCCCCGAUGGCGACCGGCGCACGGGUGAGUAACGCGUAUCCAACCUGCCCUUCACCACGGGAUAACCCGGCGAAAGUCGGACUAAUACCGUAUGUUGUCCAUUGACGGCAUCCGAUUUGGACGAAAGGUUUGGCGGUGAAGGAUGGGGAUGCGUCCGAUUAGCUGGACGGCGGGGUGACGGCCCACCGUGGCGACGAUCGGUAGGGGUUCUGAGAGGAAGGUCCCCCACACUGGAACUGAGACACGGUCCAGACUCCUACGGGAGGCAGCAGUGAGGAAUAUUGGUCAAUGGGCGUAAGCCUGAACCAGCCAAGUAGCGUGCAGGAUGACGGCCCUAUGGGUUGUAAACUGCUUUUAUGCGGGGAUAAAGUGGCCCACGUGUGGGUUUUUGCAGGUACCGCAUGAAUAAGGACCGGCUAAUUCCGUG